Molecule: ribosomal RNA, 274 nt
Filed under: uncultured bacterium
Lineage: Bacteria
Description: partial 16S ribosomal RNA
Rfam family: Bacterial small subunit ribosomal RNA
Source: RNAcentral
AUACGAGGGGUGCAAGCGUUAAUCGGAAUUACUGGGCGUAAAGCGUUCGUAGGCGGUUUGUUAAGCAAGAUGUGAAAGCCCUGGGCUCAACCUGGGAACUGCAUUUUGAACUGGCAAGCUAGAAUACUGUAGAGGGUGGUGGAAUUUCCAGUGUAGCGGUGAAAUGCGUAGAGAUUGGAAGGAACAUCAGCGGCGAAGGCGGCCACCUGGACAGAUAUUGACGCUGAGGAACGAAAGCGUGGGGAGCGAACAGGAUUAGAUACCCCAGUAGUCC